GAUGAACGCUGGCGGUGUGCUUAACACAUGCAAGUCGAACGAUGAAGCCCAGCUUGCUGGGUGGAUUAGUGGCGAACGGGUGAGUAACACGUGAGUAACCUGCCCUUAACUCUGGGAUAAGCCUGGGAAACUGGGUCUAAUACCGGAUAGGAGCGUCCACCGCAUGGUGGGUGUUGGAAAGAUUUAUCGGUUUUGGAUGGACUCGCGGCCUAUCAGCUUGUUGGUGAGGUAAUGGCUCACCAAGGCGACGACGGGUAGCCGGCCUGAGAGGGUGACCGGCCACACUGGGACUGAGACACGGCCCAGACUCCUACGGGAGGCAGCAGUGGGGAAUAUUGCACAAUGGGCGCAAGCCUGAUGCAGGGACGCCGCGUGAGGGUGACGGCCUUCGGGUUGUAAACCUCUUUCAGUAGGGAAGAAGCGAAAGUGACGGUACCUGCAGAAGAAGCACCGGCUAACUACGUG
RNAcentral lists this ribosomal RNA (465 nucleotides) under uncultured bacterium. RNAcentral describes it as "partial 16S ribosomal RNA". It matches the Rfam family "Bacterial small subunit ribosomal RNA", at positions 28 to 507 of the family's 1533-position model. The record is from RNAcentral.